Molecule: ribosomal RNA, 654 nt
Filed under: Triticum aestivum (bread wheat)
Lineage: Eukaryota; Viridiplantae; Streptophyta; Magnoliopsida; Poales; Poaceae
Description: partial small subunit ribosomal RNA
Source: RNAcentral
AUGGCGGCGGUGAAGCGCGCCUACCUCGCCGUCUACAACUGGGCCGUCUUCUUCGGAUGGGCGCAGGUGCUCUACUUCGCCGUGGAGGCGCUGCUCCGGUCGGGGCACGAGGACGUGUACGCCGCCGUCGAGAGGCCGCUCCAGCUCGCGCAGACCGCCGCCGUCCUCGAGAUCCUCCACGGCCUCGUCGGCCUGGUGAGGUCGCCGGUGUCGGCCACGCUGCCGCAGAUCGGGUCGCGCCUCUUCGUCACCUGGGGCAUCCUCUGGAGCUUCCCCGAGACCAGGACACACAUCCUGGUGAGCUCCUUGGUCAUCAGCUGGUCCAUCACCGAGAUUAUUAGGUACUCUUUUUUCGGCACAAAAGAGCUGUUUGGAUCUGCCCCAUCAUCGCUUCUAUGGCUUAGGUAUAGCUCUUUCCUAGUCAUGUACCCAACCGGCAUCAGCAGCGAGGUUGGCUUGAUAUACAUUGCGUUGCAGUUCAUCAAGGCAUCAGAGAAGUACUGCAUUAGAAUGCCCAACAAAUGGAACUAUUCAUUUGACUACUUCUAUGCAUCAAUCCUGGUACUCCUAGUCUAUGUUCCAGGAAGCCCGCAUAUGUACACGUACAUGCUUGGGCAGCGCAAGAAGGCGCUUGCAAAGUCGAAGACUGCGUAA